Molecule: ribosomal RNA, 575 nt
Filed under: uncultured bacterium
Lineage: Bacteria
Description: bacterial SSU rRNA
Rfam family: Bacterial small subunit ribosomal RNA
Source: RNAcentral
CCUACGGGAGGCAGCAGUAGGGAAUAUUGGGCAAUGGAGGCAACUCUGACCCAGCCAUGCCGCGUGCAGGAUGAAGGCGUUAUGCGUUGUAAACUGCUUUUAUAUAGGAAGAAAGAGUUCUUGCGAGAACAGUUGACGGUACUAUAUGAAUAAGCACCGGCUAACUCCGUGCCAGCAGCCGCGGUAAUACGGAGGGUGCAAGCGUUGUCCGGAUUUAUUGGGUUUAAAGGGUGCGUAGGCGGUUUAUUAAGUCAGUGGUGAAAGACGGUCGCUCAACGAUUGCAGUGCCAUUGAUACUGGUAGACUUGAGUGAGAUUGAGGUAGCUGGAAUGGAUAGUGUAGCGGUGAAAUGCAUAGAUAUUAUCCAGAACACCAAUUGCGUAGGCAAGUUACUAAGUCUCAACUGACGCUGAGGCACGAAAGUGUGGGUAUCAAACAGGAUUAGAUACCCUGGUAGUCCACACUGUAAACGAUGAUAACUAACUGUUGGCUUUCGGGUCAGUGGUACAGAGAAAUCGUUAAGUUAUCCACCUGGGGAGUACGCCGGCAACGGUGAAACUCAAAGGAAUUGACGG